CGAGACCUCAGGUCAGGCGGGGCUACCCGCUGAAUUUAAGCAUACCAAUAAGCGGAGGAAAAAAAACUAACAAGGAUUCCCUUUAAUAACGG
This 92-nucleotide ribosomal RNA is filed under the name Astragalus oreades. Its description in RNAcentral is "partial 26S ribosomal RNA". It matches the Rfam family "Eukaryotic large subunit ribosomal RNA", at positions 1 to 89 of the family's 3401-position model. Lineage: Eukaryota; Viridiplantae; Streptophyta; Magnoliopsida; Fabales; Fabaceae. The record is from RNAcentral.